AUUGAACGCUGGCGGCAGGCCUAACACAUGCAAGUCGAACGGUAACAGAAAGCAGCUUGCUGCUUUGCUGACGAGUGGCGGACGGGUGAGUAAUGUCUGGGAAACUGCCUGAUGGAGGGGGAUAACUACUGGAAACGGUAGCUAAUACCGCAUAACGUCGCAAGACCAAAGAGGGGGACCUUCGGGCCUCUUGCCAUCGGAUUGGCCCAGAUGGGAUUAGCUAGUAGGUGGGGUAACGGCUCACCUAGGCGACGAUCCCUAGCUGGUCUGAGAGGAUGACCAGCCACACUGGAACUGAGACACGGUCCAGACUCCUACGGGAGGCAGCAGUGGGGAAUAUUGCACAAUGGGCGCAAGCCUGAUGCAGCCAUGCCGCGUGUAUGAAGAAGGCCUUCGGGUUGUAAAGUACUUUCAGCGGGGAGGAAGGGAGUAAAGUUAAUACCUUUGCUCAUUGACGUUACCCGCAGAAGAAGCACCGGCUAACUCCGUG
RNAcentral lists this ribosomal RNA (490 nucleotides) under uncultured bacterium. RNAcentral describes it as "partial 16S ribosomal RNA". It matches the Rfam family "Bacterial small subunit ribosomal RNA", at positions 30 to 507 of the family's 1533-position model. The record is from RNAcentral.